RNAcentral lists this ribosomal RNA (326 nucleotides) under uncultured eukaryote. Its description in RNAcentral is "partial 18S ribosomal RNA". It matches the Rfam family "Eukaryotic small subunit ribosomal RNA", at positions 1470 to 1796 of the family's 1831-position model. The record is from RNAcentral.
CCCUUAGAUGUUCUGGGCCGCACACGCGCUACACUGAAGGAGGCAGCGUGUACUCCUGGAUCGAAAGAUUUGGGUAACCCGCGAAUCUCCUUCGUGCUAGGGAUUGAGGUUUGCAAUUAUCCUUCAUGAACGAGGAAUUCCCAGUAAGUGCAAGUCAUAAGCUUGCGCUGACUACGUCCCUGCCCUUUGUACACACCGCCCGUCGCUACUACCGAUUGAAUGAUUUAGUGAGGACUUCGGACUGGGACCGAUGCGGCUUUCGGGCUGCGUCGGUAUUCUGGAAAGAUGUCCAAACUGUAUCAUUUAGAGGAAGUAAAGUCGUAACA